CAGUCGCCGCGGUAAUACGUAGGGUGCAAGCGUUAAUCGGAAUUACUGGGCGUAAAGCGUGCGCAGGCGGUUAUAUAAGACAGAUGUGAAAUCCCCGGGCUCAACCUGGGAACUGCAUUUGUGACUGUAUAGCUAGAGUACGGCAGAGGGGGAUGGAAUUCCGCGUGUAGCAGUGAAAUGCGUAGAUAUGCGGAGGAACACCGAUGGCGAAGGCAAUCCCCUGGGCCUGUACUGACGCUCAUGCACGAAAGCGUGGGGAGCAAACAGGAUUAGAGACCCUUGUAGUCCCUGUCUCUUAUAC
RNAcentral lists this ribosomal RNA (301 nucleotides) under uncultured bacterium. RNAcentral's name for it is "partial 16S ribosomal RNA". It matches the Rfam family "Bacterial small subunit ribosomal RNA", at positions 509 to 807 of the family's 1533-position model. The record is from RNAcentral.